GCCGGGAGCCUGGCUCCGGGAAAACGUGGUCUCAGCUGUCGGGUCCUCGAGCAGGCCUCGACCCUGCUCCCCGACCGGAGAGGCCCGGCGCCUCGCCCUCACCCUCACCCGGUCUUUGUGCGGGGCGCCGGCGGCCAUUGUGUCCGUGCGGGAAAUGGAGGAGCCGGCAAUCCCCUACCGCCACCGCCGCGUCCAGGGCCUUUGGGGAAUUCAGAGAACACCAGCGGCGUUUCUGGGGGGUCCCCGGCCUGCAGCCUCCCGGAAAGGCCCGGGGAUGGCAUUUCCGAAGUCAGACCUCAGAUGCGAGGCAGUUUCCCCUGCCCUCUGUCCCUCAUCGAAACCUUGAGCCCCAUUGAGAAGUCCUUUCGGGGUUUCGGAAGCCUCACCCGGGGCCGGUCCUUAAAUAGAAACGACAACAACAAAAAGCCCUACGGCCUGCCCCGGCCGCCUUCGGGAGAGUUCUCCUGGCUCCCAGUAGGAGGCAGAGAGCGGAGGAGCGUGCUCGAGCGAGGGGGCUGGACUGCCGGUGGCAGGAGGCCGCCCUCAUUCUGGGCGAUGGAGGAGGAAGCGAGCGAGGCGGCCGGUUCCUGAGCUUCGUAAUUGCCGUGUCGCCCUCGGGACACCCAGCCGGCAGGGCCGCAUGGUCCCUGCAGCCGCAGCUGGGGUUUUUGCCAGCCGCCCGUGAGGCCGGUCGAGUUACCGGCAGCCACCUCCUCUCCGGACCCCAUGGUACAAAAGAUCGCCCGGGGACUGCACCUGCCUGCCUUGGCCAGAGACGUAUUUGAAUCUCUUUCUCUCCCUUCAGAACCUUAUCUUGGCUUUGGAUCUCAGAAGGCAACCACUAACUAGAGACCAGACUCCAGUGAGUGAGCAGGUGUUUUGGACAAUGGACUGGUCGAGCCCAUCCCUAUUAUAAAAAAUGUCUCAGAGCAACCGGGAACUGGUGGUUGACUUUCUCUCCUACAAGCUUUCCCAGAAAGGAUACAGCUGGAGUCAGUUUAGUGAUGUGGAAGAGAACAGAACUGAGGCCCCAGAAGGGACUGAAUCAGAGGUGGAGACCCCCAGUGCCAUCAAUGGCAACCCAUCCUGGCACCUGGUGGACAGCCCUGCGGUGAAUGGAGCCACUGGCCACAGCAGUAGCUUGGAUGCCCGGGAGGUGAUUCCCAUGGCAGCGGUGAAGCAAGCGCUGAGGGAGGCAGGCGACGAGUUUGAACUGAGGUACCGGCGGGCGUUCAGCGACCUGACAUCCCAGCUCCACAUCACCCCAGGGACAGCAUAUCAGAGCUUUGAGCAAGUAGUGAAUGAACUCUUCCGGGAUGGGGUGAACUGGGGUCGCAUUGUGGCCUUUUUCUCGUUCGGUGGGGCAUUGUGCGUGGAAAGUGUGGACAAGGAGAUGCAGGUAUUGGUGAGUCGGAUUGCAACGUGGAUGGCCACUUACCUGAAUGACCACCUAGAGCCUUGGAUCCAGGAGAACGGAGGCUGGGACACAGAUUUGGAAGGACUCAGUUAGCAGGAGGCAGAGUCUGUGAAACCAAUUCUAUCUCACUCCAAAGCCUAUGUUAUCUCUAAUUCUUCUUAAAAAACCGACAAGGAAGCAAACUCAUUUGAAGCAGUAGGAGUAGACCCAAAACCCUUGAUGAAUGGUUCCAGGCAAACUGUGCCAAAUCUGUGGUGUAGACUCCAAAGCAGAAGAGGACAGACCCACUGGCUGCGUCCUACAGGUGCCCUGGACCCCUGCCAAACCAACCCGUUUCCACCAUCAGCUACUCAGCUGAUGACUCGGCUCAGAGGCCUCUACCCUCAGCCUGCAUCAUCAGUGUGUACCCUCUCCCUCGCCAACUGCAUCACCAACCCAGACCCUCUUCUGUGCCAGUUGUGGAAUGUCAGAAAGGGGAAAGGUCGCUAGGGACUUGAAUAAUAGUUUUCUCAGCAGUGUGGCUUUGUGUAAUUCACACUGAGUCCUCAGUGUCCUCAUCUAUAAAAUGAAGAUAAUAGCAAUAAUCUCUUUCUCAUAGGCUGCUGUGUUCCUUCUGCCUACAGUACUCUUCCCCUAGCUCUAAUUAAGGCUGUGUUCUUAUCAUUUAGGUCUCAACUCAAAUAUCACCUCUUCAGAGGCUGCCCAUGUUUACAUGUUUACUGUCUAUCUCCUCCAGUAAAACCUAAACUCCCAGAGUGUAGGGGCUUUGUCUCAUUUUUACCCUCAUCCCCAGCAUCUAGCAGAGUGCUUGACACAUAGGAGACACUCAACAAAUAUUUGUUGAAUGAGUGAGUGACUCUGUAGCCCACCCAGCACAGUGCCUGACAUGUAGUAUAGUAAGCUCAGUCAAUGUAAGGCAUCAUUAUUAUCUGUUAAGAAGAUGUGGGCUAUGAAGACUUCCAGUAGGUGAAAAGAAUGUGGCAAGGGUGGGCUCAGUAGGUAAGAACCACCCAGACAGAUCUGGAAGGUGGAUUGUGUAUGAAGCAUUUGGGAGACAGUGAGGAGACAGACUGGCUGAAAAGGGUGUGGAUUGUCAGUACACCUGGUCAUGAAAAAGGGAGCGGUGACUGAUGGAGGCCUCUGGGAAGAGGGAUGGGGAUGGUUGAUGGUAGAGGGGGAUCCAGUGGGGAGAGGCUCAUCACCAGAGGGAUGCAACUAGGUCUCCAGUAACCCCUGGGAAAGAGAAUCCCUUGCCAGCCGGGGCUCAGCAGACAGAGGCACCUGCGACCUGCAGAUCAGGUAGGCUGCCCUGGUGGUUAUUUUGGGGCUCUGGGCCAGGUGCAGAUUCAAAAGCUUGAUUGAAGCCUUUUGGCAAUUCUGGUCUCAGCCGGGUAAACAUCACCUGUCUCUUGCCACCUGUGGCAACAAUGCCAGGAAGGUACCCCGGGCGGCCCAAAGGGGGGCAGCUUUCUUGUUGUCCUAAUAGAGCAAGAAAUAGCCCCCAAGAGAGGCCACUCCUUCCCUGCCCCAUGGCUUCCUUCUGAAGAGUUCAGGUGGCAAUAAGAUGCCUCCUGCCCAACAGUAACCUCCCCCCUUCUGGGGUUUUGGCCUGUGGAAGUCUGGGGCGGGGCAUUGGGAGCCGUUGACAGCUGGGCCCAGCUGGGGGGAGGGGUCCACUUGGGAGCAGGUGCAGAUUUCGGGGAGGGUGGGGCCUGAAGGGAAGUAGGGAUCUUGGUAGGCUGAAAAAUUUCCCUCCCCAACCCCCAGCCACAGCUGGCUUCUCCAGGAACCUGAUGACCUAGUUACAAUGCUUAGAAGUUGUUAGCUUAGCUUGCAGUUCAGAGUUGUGCCAGUCUCUCCUUUCUGAGGCUACUUGGGUCCAAAAGGUGCCCUGACAUUCCCCCAAAGGAGUUCCAUGUGAAGGACAUGCACCAUAUCACAUGUAUAGGCUUCUUGCCCAAGAGAGUAAAGAACCAAUCAGGCUUCUUCUCUAGUAUGCUCCCCCACCCCAUCCCAGGGAGGAAAGACUAUUCUGCAACAGCUCCCCUUCUAUCUCUCCCUCAGAGCUUGGUAGAUGGCAACUAGAGGUCACAAACUUCUUCCCUGGAGGUUCAGCAGAAUGGGAGACACUCCUAUUGCCCUAGGGAUAGCUUGAGCAUACCUAACAAUUUCCACCUUACCUUCUCAUCUCAGUGGAGUGAGGAAGAAUCUUUUGGGGGCUCUGGAGGCACCAGCCCUCCAAGCAGCAGCUGCUCCUGGUAUUCCUGAUGCCUACCUCUCCAUUGUCUCCCUGUGAGAAAUCCAUCACUGUUAAGAGUCAGGUACAAAAUUUGACAACCAAUGCUGAAUCCUGCUUUCUCUAUGGUUAUCCUUGGGCAAAUUACUUAAUCUCCCCCAGCCUUAGUUUCCUCAUCUGUCAAAAAGGGGGAUAAUAAUACAUAAUGCUUUUUUUGAAAGAUUUUUAUAAGCAUGAGAAUAACUUGUAAGAUACAUGGAGCAUUUAACAUGUAGGUUGGCAUAUAGUAAUUACUACUCAGUAUGGUCCUACUAUUGUUUUUUUAUCAUAUUGCCUUCACAGGUGAUCAAGUUGCUGUCUUUGCUAUUAGAGCUACUCUCUAAGAGCAAACUGGCUGGGUAGCUCAGCUGAUUAGUGCAUCAACCAGAUGCCAAAAGGUUGUGUGUUAAAUCCCCAGUCAGGGCACAUGCAAAAAUCAACCAAUGAGUGCAUAAAUAUGUGGAACAAUAAACCAAUUUCUUUCUC
This is an RNA transcript of Myotis lucifugus (little brown bat), 4178 nucleotides long. It is a transcript of the gene named BCL2 like 1, with no coding region annotated. The record is from RefSeq and is a predicted model, not a curated record. The transcript is spliced from 4 exons. Lineage: Eukaryota; Metazoa; Chordata; Mammalia; Chiroptera; Vespertilionidae.